UACAGGGGGGGCAAGCGUUGUUCGGAUUUACUGGGCGUAAAGGGCGCGUAGGCGGUGCGGUAAGUCACUUGUGAAAUCUCCGAGCUUAACUCGGAACGGCCAAGUGAUACUGCAGUACUAGAGUGCGGAAGGGGCAAUCGGAAUUCUUGGUGUAGCGGUGAAAUGCGUAGAUAUCAAGAGGAACACCUGAGGUGAAGACGGGUUGCUGGGCCGACACUGACGCUGAUGCGCGAAAGCCAGGGGAGCAAACGGG
Molecule: ribosomal RNA, 253 nt
Filed under: uncultured bacterium
Lineage: Bacteria
Description: partial 16S ribosomal RNA
Rfam family: Bacterial small subunit ribosomal RNA
Source: RNAcentral